CCGAAUUACAGUCGCUGCGGCA
Molecule: non-coding RNA, 22 nt
Filed under: Arabidopsis thaliana (thale cress)
Lineage: Eukaryota; Viridiplantae; Streptophyta; Magnoliopsida; Brassicales; Brassicaceae
Source: RNAcentral